UGCUGCAGUCUGGCGAACAUUGUUGGCAUCUUGUGCAUAUCAUGGUGAAACUAACGAAAGAUAAGAGGAUGAAGAAGAAAGAAGAGAAGGGUUGGAUUGAAGUGAAAGGUAAGGUUCAUGCUCAGAAUAGGAGGCGUGAAAGAACAGCAGAAAUUUAUUCCAGCGUAGCUGAGUUGAUGGAGAAGAAUGGGAAAUUAGAAUAUGAGCCGGUUUGGGAUGAGAUGUUGCAUGAAGUAGGGGAAAAGCGAAGGACUUUGGUAUCAUAGCGAAAAGCUGGCCCUCGCAUUUGUUGUGGUUAGCGAUGUAGUAGCCCCACCAGGGCAGGCAUUGAGGAUUGUGAAAAACUUGAGGAUUCGUACGCAUGGUUUUAAAUCGCCGUUGGGAGUAAAAAAAACAGACAUGUAAGGACUGUAAUAUAACGGUAA
RNAcentral lists this unclassified non-coding RNA (425 nucleotides) under Hevea brasiliensis (rubber tree). Lineage: Eukaryota; Viridiplantae; Streptophyta; Magnoliopsida; Malpighiales; Euphorbiaceae. The record is from RNAcentral.